RNAcentral lists this unclassified non-coding RNA (241 nucleotides) under Hevea brasiliensis (rubber tree). Lineage: Eukaryota; Viridiplantae; Streptophyta; Magnoliopsida; Malpighiales; Euphorbiaceae. The record is from RNAcentral.
AUAGAAUCCAAUCAAGGAAUGAGAAUAGUAAUGCUUUGGCACAAAUUCAAAGCCAUUCCCUCAUAAUUCUUGAACUAUCUAAAACUCAUUCUCUAUUGUGCCUCUGUUCCCUAAAAGUAAAAUGGUAUGCUAAUAUAAACAAAACUCUACCCAAGUGAACAUUGAAUUUUAAAUGAUGUCUUUUUCACAACAAAAAUCUUUAAAACCUGGACUUGACACUCUUGGAAAGAUCACAGCAAAA